This is a long non-coding RNA of Anguilla rostrata (American eel), 353 nucleotides long. RefSeq lists it as uncharacterized. The record is from RefSeq and is a predicted model, not a curated record. The transcript has 2 exons. Lineage: Eukaryota; Metazoa; Chordata; Actinopteri; Anguilliformes; Anguillidae.
CUCGUUUUCCCUUCCCUCUCUGUGGCCUGAUUGUCAUUGUGCCCUCCUGUGUCUCGUCAGUGUCGUGUCUUUUUAAGUUCCCUUCUUCCAUGGACCGGUGCUGGAUCCUUUUUUGUGUGCGUUUUGGAUUGUGUUUCGGUUUGUGCUCCUUCGUGUACUUGUGACUCAGUGUUUUGCCCUGAGUGUUUUCCUCCCUGCCCAUGCUCUGUUUUUGCAUUGUUUUUGAAUUUCUGCAUUUUCUGUUUUUGCGAGUUAAGAACUUUGUCCAUUUUUGACUUGCUUUGCGCGGCUUUGUUUUUGUUGUUUUGUUGUUUUUGUAUUUAUUAAAAGUAACUUCCUCGGUUUUGUGUUUA